GGGAACAUACCCUUUUCUACGGAAUAGCUCUGGGAAACUGGAAUUAAUACCGUAUACGCCCUACGGGGGAAAGAUUUAUCGGGGAAGGAUUGGCCCGCGUUGGAUUAGCUAGUUGGUGGGGUAAAGGCCUACCAAGGCGACGAUCCAUAGCUGGUCUGAGAGGAUGAUCAGCCACAUUGGGACUGAGACACGGCCCAAACUCCUACGGGAGGCAGCAGUGGGGAAUAUUGGACAAUGGGCGCAAACCUGAUCCAGCCAUGCCGCGUGAGUGAUGAAGGCCUUAGGGUUGUAAAGCUCUUUCACCGAUGAAGAUAAUGACGGUAGUCGGAGAAGAAGCCCCGGCUAACUUCGUGCCAGCAGCCGCGGUAAUACGAAGGGGGCUAGCGUUGUUCGGAAUUACUGGGCGUAAAGCGCACGUAGGCGGAUAUUUAAGUCAGGGGUGAAAUCCCAGAGCUCAACUCUGGAACUGCCUUUGAUACUGGGUAUCUUGAGUAUGGAAGAGGUAAGUGGAAUUGCGAGU
This 520-nucleotide ribosomal RNA is filed under the name uncultured bacterium. RNAcentral describes it as "bacterial SSU rRNA". It matches the Rfam family "Bacterial small subunit ribosomal RNA", at positions 120 to 674 of the family's 1533-position model. The record is from RNAcentral.